CAAGAUGAUCGUGAGCUUACGUUGACGGUCUUCCAUUUCACCUCCCUUCUGACUAUAUACGUAUAUACUUUUUUCCUCUAGUCUACAGUCGUUAAGAAGCAUCCUCCGUAUAGUGAUUAUCUUAAGGGCUUUUCAACUUCUUAACCCCCGUGAUCUUUCUACCCUCGAAACAUAAAUUCCAAGGCGAUCGAGAGAUUUCGACGAACGUUCAAUCGUCGAAGGUCGUAAGCCCUCGAAAGUCGUUCCGAUGCUGAAGUGAUACAUCGUGCGAAAAAGUUUCAGCCCCGAGGAAAGAGAGAGAGAGAGUCGUCGAUCGAAGGGUUCAUCAUAGAGCUAGGAUCAUGGUCCGUUCUUGGACAAGAACAAGAAGCACGUGCGCGUUUAGCAGUUAAUGCAGCCAAAAGAGUUUCUUGUUUCACCCUAAGCAAUUCGGAUAUUAAUGCGACGACUUCGGGAUUCUUAACUCCUACUGCCUCGUCAUGAUGAUGGUGUGAAUCCCACCAUCUCCAUAGAUUGCUUCAAUCUCGAAAAUUCAUGCCUUUCAUCGAUGUUUUCAAGACCAUAACAGCCACUUUUGUUUAAAUAAUUAUAACGUUCACAACAUUCUAAAUGUAAGAGCUGUUUUUCCUGUUCAUUUGCACCAGCUAAUAAAUAGUAAAAAACGUGA
This is a long non-coding RNA of Polistes canadensis, 667 nucleotides long. RefSeq lists it as uncharacterized. Lineage: Eukaryota; Metazoa; Arthropoda; Insecta; Hymenoptera; Vespidae. The transcript is spliced from 3 exons. The record is from RefSeq and is a predicted model, not a curated record.